CCUACGGGAGGCUGCAGUGAGGAAUAUUGGUCAAUGGCCGCAGGGCUGAACCAGCCAAGUCGCGUGAGGGAUGACGGUCCUAUGGAUUGUAAACCUCUUUUGUCAGGGAGCAAAGGGCGCCACGUGUGGCGCUUUGCGAGUACCUGAAGAAAAAGCAUCGGCUAACUCCGUGCCAGCAGCCGCGGUAAUACGGAGGAUGCGAGCGUUAUCCGGAUUUAUUGGGUUUAAAGGGUGCGCAGGCGGAAUGUCAAGUCAGCGGUAAAAUUUCGGGGCUCAACCCCGUCGUGCCGUUGAAACUGGCGUUCUUGAGUGAGCGAGAAGUAUGCGGAAUGCGUGGUGUAGCGGUGAAAUGCAGAGAUAUAACGCAGAACUCCGAUUGCGAAGGCAGCAUACCGGCGCUCAACUGACGCUCAUGCACGAAAGCGUGGGUAUCGAACAGGAUUAGAUACCCCAGUAGUC
RNAcentral lists this ribosomal RNA (459 nucleotides) under uncultured bacterium. RNAcentral describes it as "partial 16S ribosomal RNA". It matches the Rfam family "Bacterial small subunit ribosomal RNA", at positions 338 to 795 of the family's 1533-position model. The record is from RNAcentral.